AAUGAACGCUGGCGGCAUGCCUUACACAUGCAAGUCGAACGGCAGCAUGACCUAGCUUGCUAGGUUGAUGGCGAGUGGCGAACGGGUGAGUAAUGCAUCGGAACGUGCCUUUUAGUGGGGGAUAACGUAGCGAAAGUUACGCUAAUACCGCAUAUUCUCUGAGGAGGAAAGCAGGGGACCUUCGGGCCUUGCGCUAGAAGAGCGGCCGAUGUCGGAUUAGCUAGUUGGUGAUGUAAAGGCUCACCAAGGCAACGAUCCGUAGCGGGUCUGAGAGGAUGAUCCGCCACACUGGGACUGAGACACGGCCCAGACUCCUACGGGAGGCAGCAGUGGGGAAUUUUGGACAAUGGGCGCAAGCCUGAUCCAGCCAUGCCGCGUGAGUGAAGAAGGCCUUCGGGUUGUAAAGCUCUUUCGGCUGGGAAGAAAUCGCACCCUCUAAUACAGGGUGUGGAUGACGGUACCAGCAUAAGAAGCACCGGCUAACUACGUG
Molecule: ribosomal RNA, 490 nt
Filed under: uncultured bacterium
Lineage: Bacteria
Description: partial 16S ribosomal RNA
Rfam family: Bacterial small subunit ribosomal RNA
Source: RNAcentral